GCCCCCAUCGUCUAGCGGCCAAGGACACCGCCCUUUCACGGCGAAGGCACCGGUUCAAAUCCGGUUGGGGGUACCA
Molecule: transfer RNA, 76 nt
Filed under: Bacillota bacterium
Lineage: Bacteria; Bacillati; Bacillota
Also listed under: 1 other name
Description: Firmicutes bacterium (anaerobic digester metagenome) tRNA-Glu
Rfam family: tRNA
About the family: Transfer RNA (tRNA) molecules are approximately 80 nucleotides in length. Their secondary structure includes four short double-helical elements and three loops (D, anti-codon, and T loops). Further hydrogen bonds mediate the characteristic L-shaped molecular structure. tRNAs have two regions of fundamental functional importance: the anti-codon, which is responsible for specific mRNA codon recognition, and the 3' end, to which the tRNAs corresponding amino acid is attached (by aminoacyl-tRNA synthetases). tRNAs cope with the degeneracy of the genetic code in two manners: having more than one tRNA (with a specific anti-codon) for a particular amino acid; and 'wobble' base-pairing, i.e. permitting non-standard base-pairing at the 3rd anti-codon position.
Source: RNAcentral